RNAcentral lists this ribosomal RNA (2326 nucleotides) under Salmonella enterica. RNAcentral's name for it is "partial 23S ribosomal RNA". It matches the Rfam family "Bacterial large subunit ribosomal RNA", at positions 711 to 2925 of the family's 2925-position model. The record is from RNAcentral. RNAcentral also lists the same sequence under 3 other names. Lineage: Bacteria; Pseudomonadati; Pseudomonadota; Gammaproteobacteria; Enterobacterales; Enterobacteriaceae.
AGACCCGAAACCCGGUGAUCUAGCCAUGGGCAGGUUGAAGGUUGGGUAACACUAACUGGAGGACCGAACCGACUAAUGUUGAAAAAUUAGCGGAUGACCUGUGGCUGGGGGUGAAAGGCCAAUCAAACCGGGAGAUAGCUGGUUCUCCCCGAAAGCUAUUUAGGUAGCGCCUCGUGAAUUCAUCUCCGGGGGUAGAGCACUGUUUCGGCUAGGGGGCCAUCCCGGCUUACCAACCCGAUGCAAACUGCGAAUACCGGAGAAUGUUAUCACGGGAGACACACGGCGGGUGCUAACGUCCGUCGUGAAGAGGGAAACAACCCAGACCGCCAGCUAAGGUCCCAAAGUCAUGGUUAAGUGGGAAACGAUGUGGGAAGGCCCAGACAGCCAGGAUGUUGGCUUAGAAGCAGCCAUCAUUUAAAGAAAGCGUAAUAGCUCACUGGUCGAGUCGGCCUGCGCGGAAGAUGUAACGGGGCUAAACCAUGCACCGAAGCUGCGGCAGCGAACGUAUCACCCAAGACAACUUUACGGAGUUGACGAUUGACGGAGCGAAGCGACGUCAAAGCGUUCAUUAAAGUCGAGUUGGCUUAGGGAUACGUUCGUUGGGUAGGGGAGCGUUCUGUAAGCCUGUGAAGGUGUGUCGUGAGGCAUGCUGGAGGUAUCAGAAGUGCGAAUGCUGACAUAAGUAACGAUAAAGCGGGUGAAAAGCCCGCUCGCCGGAAGACCAAGGGUUCCUGUCCAACGUUAAUCGGGGCAGGGUGAGUCGACCCCUAAGGCGAGGCCGAAAGGCGUAGUCGAUGGGAAACGGGUUAAUAUUCCCGUACUUGGUGUUACUGCGAAGGGGGGACGGAGAAGGCUAUGUUGGCCGGGCGACGGUUGUCCCGGUUUAAGCGUGUAGGUGUGUGUUCCAGGUAAAUCCGGUUCACUUUAACACUGAGGCGUGACGACGAGGCACUACGGUGCUGAAGCAACAAAUGCCCUGCUUCCAGGAAAAGCCUCUAAGCAUCAGGUAACACGAAAUCGUACCCCAAACCGACACAGGUGGUCAGGUAGAGAAUACCAAGGCGCUUGAGAGAACUCGGGUGAAGGAACUAGGCAAAAUGGUGCCGUAACUUCGGGAGAAGGCACGCUGACACGUAGGUGAAGUGAUUUACUCAUGGAGCUGAAGUCAGUCGAAGAUACCAGCUGGCUGCAACUGUUUAUUAAAAACACAGCACUGUGCAAACACGAAAGUGGACGUAUACGGUGUGACGCCUGCCCGGUGCCGGAAGGUUAAUUGAUGGGGUCAGCGUAAGCGAAGCUCCUGAUCGAAGCCCCGGUAAACGGCGGCCGUAACUAUAACGGUCCUAAGGUAGCGAAAUUCCUUGUCGGGUAAGUUCCGACCUGCACGAAUGGCGUAAUGAUGGCCAGGCUGUCUCCACCCGAGACUCAGUGAAAUUGAACUCGCUGUGAAGAUGCAGUGUACCCGCGGCAAGACGGAAAGACCCCGUGAACCUUUACUAUAGCUUGACACUGAACAUUGAGCCUUGAUGUGUAGGAUAGGUGGGAGGCUUUGAAGUGUGGACGCCAGUCUGCAUGGAGCCGACCUUGAAAUACCACCCUUUAAUGUUUGAUGUUCUAACGUGGACCCGUAAUCCGGGUUGCGGACAGUGUCUGGUGGGUAGUUUGACUGGGGCGGUCUCCUCCUAAAGAGUAACGGAGGAGCACGAAGGUUGGCUAAUCCUGGUCGGACAUCAGGAGGUUAGUGCAAUGGCAUAAGCCAGCUUGACUGCGAGCGUGACGGCGCGAGCAGGUGCGAAAGCAGGUCAUAGUGAUCCGGUGGUUCUGAAUGGAAGGGCCAUCGCUCAACGGAUAAAAGGUACUCCGGGGAUAACAGGCUGAUACCGCCCAAGAGUUCAUAUCGACGGCGGUGUUUGGCACCUCGAUGUCGGCUCAUCACAUCCUGGGGCUGAAGUAGGUCCCAAGGGUAUGGCUGUUCGCCAUUUAAAGUGGUACGCGAGCUGGGUUUAGAACGUCGUGAGACAGUUCGGUCCCUAUCUGCCGUGGGCGCUGGAGAACUGAGGGGGGCUGCUCCUAGUACGAGAGGACCGGAGUGGACGCAUCACUGGUGUUCGGGUUGUCAUGCCAAUGGCACUGCCCGGUAGCUAAAUGCGGAAGAGAUAAGUGCUGAAAGCAUCUAAGCACGAAACUUGCCCCGAGAUGAGUUCUCCCUGAGACUUAGAGUCUCCUGAAGGAACGUUGAAGACGACGACGUUGAUAGGCCGGGUGUGUAAGCGCAGCGAUGCGUUGAGCUAACCGGUACUAAUGAACCGUGAGGCUUAACCUUACA